UAUAACUAGUACUGUUUCUGUUAAUCAGUAUGCCUUAACAGAAGUCCUAAAAUAAUCUUUAUACAUUACAAAACAAGGAUUUACAAAAAUUUUAUUUCCACGUUACUUCAUUCUAAAAAUGUUGAAACAUAAAAAAAUACCAUUAUUUAAAGGAGUUUACAAUAAAAGGCUAACAAUCUGGCAUGGAAGAGAUAAAUAUAUGGAAACCUGUUUUAACAGUCACAAAUCAGUCGCUGGUGAUUAAAGAACACUUUGUUCUUCAAAGCUGGUAGGCACUUCCACAUAGCCAGAAAGGUAACUUAUCCUACCACUUGUUUCCCUCCCCAUACAUAAAAAUUUCCAAUGCAAUUAAAAAAAAAUUGGAUAAAAGGGUGAAUGUGAUAAAAUAAAAGCAUUAACCAAGACCUUUACUAUUGUUCAUCUUGUGUAAAUAAAAAGAUUUUGUCCCAAAGUUUUCCUGGCAGGAUGGAGUUAUUUGGCCUUUAGAAGUGUUAACUGAAAUACCUCCCUUUUUUACCAGUAUAUGUUGUUUGCUCACUGCUGCUGUACUGCUGGUUUAUGUCUGUAACAGAAACUGGCUCUAGGCCAGCCCAUGGGUCCUCAAGCAUUGAAGGUCUGUAAUAGUUUUCCACAUCAUUAGACUCUCUUUUCUCUCUGCCAUGCGCUGUACCAAAUGGAGUAGAUGUCCUGGGUGAUCCCUGGUAGUGCCUCUGGUAGCCCCCGGGCGAGCGCUUGUGCUGCUGCGGGUGCGGAGCAGCUCCGGCCGGGGACCUGCCGCCGCGGGAAGCCGGGUAGCGGGGGCUGGCGCUCUGCGGCCUGCGCGGGGUCUGCCCCCCCGGCGACGGGCUCCCGAACCGCCCGCCGCCGCCGCCGAAGCCGGUGCCUCGGGGCGACAGCCCGCCGCCGUAAGGCCCAGGCCAGGGGCCGUAGGGCGGCGUGUGAUGCGGGCUCCCGUAGCCCCGGGGCGAGGGGGGCACGGGGCCACCGCCGCCGGAGGGAGGGCUCCGGAACCCGCCGCCCGCAUACGGAGGCGUCGGAGGUCGGAAGCUCUGCCGGUACAUGGCCCGGCCGGCACGGCGUAGCAGCGGCGGAGAGAAAUAGAAAUAAAACCUGCGCAACGCGACACGAACACGCACACGGCCUCGCUGGCUGCGGCGGCGGCUGCUCUCUCGCCGUCCCCCGCCCCGUUGCUCGGCGACAGCGUUCCGGGCUUACAAGGUUCCGGGCCGGGAAGGCAAAGAGAGGAACGCACGUACGGACACGUUAGAAGAUGCUUUGUCGGAAGGAGUUUUCUAAACGUCACUUCAAACUGCCGGUAGCGCUUCGGUAGCUCUGACAGCGAUACGUACGGAACUCCGAGAACCCAGGACGAAGCGCUCUCUUAGAGGAGAGUCCCGUUUUGGGCAAGAUAACGUUAUUUACAGCGCUCUUGUUCUCAGCAGUGAGUCUAAAUCCUGAGCAGCUCAGUAAAAAGAGAUUACUUGGAUUUCCAUCCAUGCAGCAAAACCCCUGCUUCGUUCUAGAACACUGCAACGUUUGAAGGUUAACUAAAGCUGUCAGAACAGCACUGGGCAACAGUUAGCCAAAAAUACCAGCGGUGUUUCUGCACUAGUCCUGCUUCUCUUUUAACAACUACUCAUUUUCUUGCUUUGGCAAUGGAGAUAACUCAUGUUCUGUUCCCAGGAAACUCAGCUCUGCAUUCCAUUUCACAACUUCCCUGUGAAAACGUGGGGCAUUAUGCUCGCAAAUCCGAAAUGGAAAUGCGGAGAUUAUACUCACUGAUCUUUGCUAAUCCACUGCUGUUUUAUCUUCUCUAAAAGACCAGUUUUCUACCUUUUGUGUGUGGUACACACAAGGAAUGCCGUAUCUACACAAGGCAAAUUUAUCAACAUAAGAUCAAUUUCUCAUUCUGGCCAGUCUUAUUCCAGAAAUGGAAGGUGCCUUUUAAUUAAUUAAUUUCACACCAAACUAAUUAGAAAUAGGUAUUGUUACACAGAUAAUUGACUCACAACAGGAUAAUGAAUUUUUUUGUUGACAAAUCCAAACUGCUUCUAGGAUUGCAACCAUCCAUGUCCUACAUUUCAUUACACAUAGCAAGUCCACUUAACAAACCUGUUGCACAGCUGAUUUUCCCCGUGUUCUUCCUCAGAGUGCAGGAUCUUUGUGAGGAAACACUUCCAAGACUGUAGUAUUUGCAGGGCUCUCUUUCAAGCAGUCAGAAGCCUUAUCUACCACUGAGGUACAGAUGUUACCCUCACAGUUCUUUUUCCAUAAAUAAAUGCUGAAUCUCUGUGCAGGCUUUUUGUUUUGUUUUGUUUUUUAAAUGCUGCUACAGAGCAAGAAGGCACGUGGUUUUCAUGUAACAAGCCUUCCUCUUUGUCCCAGG
RNAcentral lists this long non-coding RNA (2386 nucleotides) under Gallus gallus (chicken). The record is from RNAcentral. Lineage: Eukaryota; Metazoa; Chordata; Aves; Galliformes; Phasianidae.